GUGAAUCAUCAAAUUUUUGAACGCAAAUUGCACUCUCUUCGGAGAGUAUGCCUGUUUGAGGGUCAGCCUAAAAAAAAAAAUCGACAUAGUCGCUGUUUCGCGGUGACUUUUGUCGGAAAUUGGGUCAUCUUUAACUUUUGGGUUUUUAGUUGCUUAAAAUUUUUUUUACGGUUCCACGCACGUUUUUAAGAUUUACUUCUUAUACGUUUAAGGUAAACACCUUUAUUAG
This 229-nucleotide unclassified non-coding RNA is filed under the name Glomus sp. Its description in RNAcentral is "partial contains 5.8S ribosomal RNA and internal transcribed spacer 2". The stretch from base 1 to 65 matches the Rfam family "5.8S ribosomal RNA", at positions 84 to 154 of the family's 154-position model. The record is from RNAcentral. Lineage: Eukaryota; Fungi; Glomeromycota; Glomeromycetes; Glomerales; Glomeraceae.